UCGAGAAUCUUCCUCAAUGGCCGAAAGGCUGAAGGAGCGACGCCGCGUGCAGGAAGACGGCCUUCGGGUUGUAAACUGCUUUUAUCAGGGACGAACACUGACGGUACCUGAAGAAUAAGGGGUUGCUAACUCUGUG
This 136-nucleotide ribosomal RNA is filed under the name uncultured Microgenomates group bacterium. RNAcentral describes it as "partial 16S ribosomal RNA". It matches the Rfam family "Bacterial small subunit ribosomal RNA", at positions 355 to 507 of the family's 1533-position model. The record is from RNAcentral.